Molecule: ribosomal RNA, 490 nt
Filed under: uncultured bacterium
Lineage: Bacteria
Description: partial 16S ribosomal RNA
Rfam family: Bacterial small subunit ribosomal RNA
Source: RNAcentral
AUUGAACGCUGGCGGCAGGCCUAACACAUGCAAGUCGAACGGUAACAGAAAGCAGCUUGCUGCUUUGCUGACGAGUGGCGGACGGGUGAGUAAUGUCUGGGAAACUGCCUGAUGGAGGGGGAUAACUACUGGAAACGGUAGCUAAUACCGCAUAACGUCGCAAGACCAAAGAGGGGGACCUUCGGGCCUCUUGCCAUCGGAUGUGCCCAGAUGGGAUUAGCUAGUAGGUGGGGUAAAGGCUCACCUAGGCGACGAUCCCUAGCUGGUCUGAGAGGAUGACCAGCCACACUGGAACUGAGACACGGUCCAGACUCCUACGGGAGGCAGCAGUGGGGAAUAUUGCACAAUGGGCGCAAGCCUGAUGCAGCCAUGCCGCGUGUACGAAGAAGGCCUUCGGGUUGUAAAGUACUUUCAGCGGGGAGGAAGGGAGUAAAGUUAAUACCUUUGCUCAUUGACGUUACCCGCAGAAGAAGCACCGGCUAACUCCGUG